GAUGCAAUGUUCUCUCCCACCGAUGACCAAAGAAGUACAAAUAAGAAGAGACACCAUCUGCACUUAUCAGAUUGGCACCAGUUGAAAGGAGUGGGGUCCCAGCCUGGGUGCAGGUACAAAUCCCUGCCUGGUCAGCAGCAGUUUCCAGCUACUGCUCAGAGUCCUUGAAACAAAUUAAUUCAUAAGUGCAGACCUGGAACCUGGGGAAUUGCUCGGUUUCUCACAUAAAUGACAUAUUCAGUCCUCACCAAUCUCCCUCCACCUUGUCUGUACUUUGUCUACAGAGAUGGGCAGGUAGGCAGACACUAGCGGGACAAUGGGGAAUCCAGAAUACCAUACUUUGCUAGUUAGCAUUAAAUAUAGAAGCAAUGACUUCAACACAUAAUACACAUAUGAUCAUUUGUUAGAGCUCAGAUAAAGACACAGGCCUUCUGUUUCUACAAGGGGAUAUCAGGAAGGAAACAUUUUAUAAAGACCCUCCCAUUUUGGGCUGGGACCUGGUGUAAACUAAGAACGUCUGUUUUAUAAAUCUUUCUAAAUUUCUGGAGGGAUUAAGGCCCCUGAGGGAACAAUGACCACCUCAAAAGGCCAGAAAGACAUGUUUGCAAUUCCAAAGUCACACAUCCAAGUAAGCCCUGAUAAGCAUCGUAACCACCCCUGUUCCUGGCUCCCAGGAUUGACUGAGAUAUAUAUGUUUCCCUUCCAGGCAGGUGCCUCUGGAGCACUGCACACCUUCUCCCAGAGGCCUAAAUCUCUCUAGACCCACUCUACAGUGCACUCUGUAGACUGCUUCCCAGCCGCCUGUAUGUCUUCACUGUAUUCACAGUUCUAAUGCCCACAGGUUUGAGGAGGCUCGAGAAGGCCGAUUCCUCGGUGGUCAGGACCCGUUUUCUGUUGUGCCUCCAGUCCACUACAGCCAGAAAGCACAGGUUGGAGGAACCAGAUGUCACAGACUCAAUAGCUGGCAGCCUUCAUCGUGGUGCCACAAAGCAUGCACUACAUGGUGGCUACAAGGUGGGUGUCAAUGUGUACUGUCUGUUCCUGAUGCUUUGGAGCCACAGAAAGCACUCGGCUCCCGGCAGGCUCUGGGGAGACAGCUCACAGAGACACCAAGCCAUACUCGGGUCUGUAGCUUGUUCCCUGAACCCCUUCCCCAUACGCAGAUGA
This 1167-nucleotide long non-coding RNA is filed under the name Fukomys damarensis (Damara mole-rat). RNAcentral's name for it is "lncRNA (ENSFDAG00000028776.1)". Lineage: Eukaryota; Metazoa; Chordata; Mammalia; Rodentia; Bathyergidae. The record is from RNAcentral.